UACGGGGGGGGCAAGCGUUGUUCGGAAUUACUGGGCGUAAAGCGUGCGUAGGCGGCUAUCUAAGUCGGAUGUGAAAUCCCUCGGCUUAACCAAGGAAGUGCACCCGAAACUGGAUAGCUUGAGUACAGAAGAGGAUCGCGGAAUUCCCGGUGUAGUGGUGAAAUGCGUAGAUAUCGGGAGGAACACCAGUGGCGAAGGCGGCUUUCUGGUCUGUUCUUGACGCUGAGGCGCGAAAGCUAGGGUAGCAAACGGG
This 253-nucleotide ribosomal RNA is filed under the name uncultured bacterium. Its description in RNAcentral is "partial 16S ribosomal RNA". It matches the Rfam family "Bacterial small subunit ribosomal RNA", at positions 524 to 776 of the family's 1533-position model. The record is from RNAcentral.